This is a long non-coding RNA of Oncorhynchus tshawytscha (Chinook salmon), 4263 nucleotides long. The record is from Ensembl. Lineage: Eukaryota; Metazoa; Chordata; Actinopteri; Salmoniformes; Salmonidae.
GCAUCUCACUGUCGUAGACUGCAUCUCACUGUAGUAGACUGUAGGCUGCAUCUCACUGUAGUAGACUGUAGGCUGCAUCUCACUGUAGUAGACUGUAGACUGUAUCUCACUGUAGUAGACUGUAUCUCACUGUAGUAGACUGCAUCUCACUGUAGUAGACUGUAGACUGCAUCUCACUGUAGUAGACUGUAGACUGCAUCUCACUGUAGUAGACUGUAGACUGCAUCUCACUGUAGUAGACUGUAGACUGCAUCUCACUGUAGUAGACUGUAGACUGCAUCUCACUGUAGUAGACUGUAGACUGCAUCUCACUGUAGUAGAUUGCAUCUCACUGUAGUAGACUGUAGACUGCAUCUCACUGUAGUAGACUGUAGACUGCAUCUCACUGUAGUAGACUGUAGACUGCAUCUCACUGUAGUAGACUGCAUAUCACUGUAGUAGACUGCAUCUCACUGUAGUAGACUGUAGACAGCAUCUCACUGUAGUAGACUGUAGACUGCAUCUCACUGUAGUAGAUUGCAUCUCACUGUAGUAGACUGUAGACUGUAUCUCACUGUAGUAGACUGCAUCUCACUGUAGUAGGCUGCAUAUCACUGUAGUAGACUGCAUCUCACUGUAGUAGACUGUAGACAGCAUCUCACUGUAGUAGACUGUAGACUGCAUCUCACUGUAGUAGACUGUAGACUGCAUCUCACUGUAGUAGACUGCAUCUCACUGUAGUAGACUGCAUCUCACUGUAUCUCACUGUAGUGGACUGUAGGCUUCAUCUCACUCUAGUAGACUGUAGAAGGCAUCUCACUGUAGUAGACUGCAUCUCACUGUAGUAGACUGUAGACUGCAUCUCACUGUAGUAGACUGCAUCUCACUGUAGUAGACUGCAUCUCACUGUAGUAGACUGCAUCUCACUGUAGUAGACUGUAGACUGCAUCUCACUGUAGUAGACUGUAGACUGCAUCUCACUGUAGUAGACUGUAGACUGCAUCUCACUGUAGUAGACUGUAGACUGCAUCUCACUGUAGUAGACUGUAGACUGCAUCUCACUGUAGUAGACUGUAGACUGCAUCACAGAGACUCUCAGUUACAUACAUGAUGUUACAUUCUACCACAGUUACAUACAUGAUGUGAUGUUACAUACAUGAUGUUACAUACUACUACAGUUACAUACAUGAUGUGAUGUUACAUACUACCACAGUUACAUACAUGAUGUGAUGUUACAUUCUACCACAGUUACAUACAUCAUGUUACAUUCUACCACAGUUACAUACAUGAUGUGAUGUUACAUACAUGAUGUUACAUACUACUACAGUUACAUACAUGAUGUUACAUACUACCACAGUUACAUACAGGAUGUAAUGUUACAAACAGGAUGUGCUGUUACAUACUACUACAGUUACAUACAUGAUGUUACAUUCUACCACAGUUACAUACAUGUUACAUACUACUACAGUUACAUACAUCAUGUUACAUACUACCACAGUUACAUACAUGAUGUGAUGUUACAUACUACCACAGUUACAUACAUGAUGUGAUGUUACAUGCUACCACAGUUACAUACAUGAUGUUACAUUCUACCACAGUUACAUACAUCAUGUUACAUUCUACCACAGUUACAUACAGGAUGUAAUGUUACAAACAGGAUGUGAUGUUACAUACUACUACAGUUACAUACAUGAUGUUACAUACUACUACAGUUACAUACAUGAUGUGAUGUUACAUACAUGAUGUUACAUACUACCACAGUUACAUGUUACAUACUACUACAGUUACAUACAUGUUACAUACUACCACAGUUACAUACAUGUUACAUACUACUACAGUUACAUACAUGAUGUGAUGUUACAUACUACCACAGUUACAUACAUGAUGUGAUGUUACAUACUACUACAGUUACAUACAUGUUGUGAUGUUACAUACUACUACAGUUACAUACAUGUUGUGAUGUUACAUACUACUACAGUUACAUACAUGUUGUGAUGUUACAUACUACUACAGUUACAUACAUGUUGUGAUGUUACAUACUACAACAGUUACAUACAUGUUGUGAUGUUACAUACUAUUACAGUUACAUACAUGAUGUUAAAUACUACUACAGUUACAUAUGUGAUGUUACAUUCUACGACAGUUACAUACAUGUUACAUACUACUACAGUUACAUACAUGUUACAUUCUACUACAGUUACAUGCAUGAUGUUACAUUCUACUACAGUUACAUACGUGAUGUUACAUACUACUACAGUUACAUACAUUAUGUGAUGUUACAUACUACUACAGUUACAUACAUGUUACAUUCAUGAUGUUACAUAUUACUACAUUUACAUAUUACUGCAGUUACAUACAUGAUGUUGCAUACUACUACAGUUACAUACAUUAUGUGAUGUUACAUACUACCACAGUUAUAUACAUGAUGUGAUGUUACAUACUACUACAGUUACAUAUGUGAUGUUGCAUACUACUAGUUACAUACAUUAUGUGAUGUUACAUACUACCACAGUUAUAUACAUGAUGUGAUGUUACAUACUACUACAGUUACAUAUGUGAUGUUACAUACUACCACAGUUACAUACAUGUUGUGAUGUUACAUACUACUACAGUUACAUACAUGUUGUGAUGUUACAUACUACUACAGUUACAUACAUGUUGUGAUGUUACAUACUACAACAGUUACAUACAUGUUGUGAUGUUACAUACUACUACAGUUACAUACAUGAUGUUACAUUCUACUACAGUUACAUACAUGUUACAUACUACUACAAUUACAUACAUGAUGUGAUGUUACAUACUACUACAGUUACAUACAUGAUGUUACAUACUACUACAGUUACAUAUGUGAUGUUACAUACUACUACAGUUACAUACAUGAUGUUACAUACUACUACAGUUACAUACAUGUUACAUACUACUACAGUUACGUACAUGUUACAUACUACUACAGUUACGUACAUGUUACAUACUACUACAGUUACAUACAUGAUGUUACAUACUACUACAGUUACAUAUGUGAUGUUACAUUCUACUACAGUUACAUACAUGUUACAUACUACUACAGUUACGUACAUGUUACAUACUACUACAGUUACGUAGAUGUUACAUACUACUACAGUUACAUACAUGAUGUUACAUACUACUACAGUUACAUAUGUGAUGUUACAUACUACUACAGUUACAUAUGUGAUGUUACAUACUACUACAGUUACAUACAUGUUACAUACUACUACAGUUACAUGCAUGAUGUUACAUACUACUACAGUUACAUACAUUAUGUGAUGUUACAUACUACUACAGUUACAUACAUGAUGUUACAUACUACUACAGUUACAUACGUGAUGUUACAUACUACUACAGUUACAUACGUGAUGUUACAUACAUGUUACAUACUACUACAGUUACAUACAUGUUACAUACUACUACAGUUACAUGCAUGAUGUUACAUACGUGAUGUUACAUACUACUACAGUUACAUACAUUAUGUGAUGUUACAUACUACUACAGUUACAUACAUGAUGUUACAUACUACUACAGUUACAUACGUGAUGUUACAUACUACUACAGUUACAUACGUGAUGUUACAUACAUGUUACAUACUACUACAGUUACAUACAUGCUGCUACAUACAUGAUGUGAUGUUACAUACUACUACAGUUGCAUACAUAAUGUUACAUACAUGUUACAUACUACUAAAGUUACAUACAUGUUACAUACUAUUACAGUUACAUACAUAAUGUUACAUACUACUAAAGUUGCAUACAUGUUACAUACUACUACAGUUACAUACAUGAUGUGAUGUUACAUACUACUACAGUUACAUACAUGUGAUGUUACAUACAUGAUGUGAUGUUACAUACAUGUUGUGAUGUUACAUACUACUACAGUUACAUACAUGAUGUGAUGUUACAUACUACUACAGUUACAUACAUGUUGUGAUGUUACAUACAUGAUGUGAUGUUACAUACAUGUUGUGAUGUUACAUACUACUACAGUUACAUACAUGAUGUGAUGUUACAUACUACGACAGUUACAUACAUGUUGUGAUGUUACAUACUACUACAGUUACAUACAUGAUGUGAUGUUACAUACUACGACAGUUACAUACAUGAUGUGAUGUUAGAUACUACGACAGUUACGUACAUGAUGUGAUGUUACAUGUAGGAAACCAAAGUUGUCAGUGAAUUAAAAAGAUUUGUAUUGUUUAUCUGGUGUCUCUCUGUUUAAUGGCCAAGAAGGAUAUUUGCAGAUUACUGCCCUGAGUUUACAAAACAUUAACGU